AGGCGAGUAGCUCAAUUGGCUAGAGCACCGGUCUCCAAAACCGGGGGUUGUAGGUUCAACUCCUACCUCGCCUG
RNAcentral lists this transfer RNA (74 nucleotides) under Candidatus Omnitrophota bacterium. RNAcentral describes it as "tRNA-Trp". It matches the Rfam family "tRNA". From Rfam's summary of the family: Transfer RNA (tRNA) molecules are approximately 80 nucleotides in length. Their secondary structure includes four short double-helical elements and three loops (D, anti-codon, and T loops). Lineage: Bacteria; Pseudomonadati; Candidatus Omnitrophota. The record is from RNAcentral.